GGCUUCUAAGAGGUAAGUGGCAAGAUCCUUUCCUCUAGUUUUGGAUUUUAAAGCUUUCUUUGAGAUGAAACCCUAGUUUUGAGACUUAGGGUUUAUUUUGGGCUUUUUAAACCUAGGGCUUUUGAGGCUUGAUUGGUUGGUUUAGAACCUUCCUAGGGCUUGGAUUGGAAGGGUUCUAGCUCUCUUUUGGAGCUUAGGAGAAGAUUUCUACUCUUGAGGUGAGUUUUGGCCCUUUUGCUUCUAGGUUAAAGAUCGAGCUUAUUGCUCUUCGUAUCGAUUGGAUGACACUAUUUUUGAUGUUCCUAGGGUGCUAGGAAGCUAGUGGAUACCUCCAUCGAAGCAAGCGAAAGGCUUCGUUGUCGUCGGUGGGUUUGACCUAGCCACACAAUGAGAAAUUCUCAUUUGUGCUUAAUUAAGCAUCGUUAAAUGAAAAAGCAUGCAUAUUCUUCUUAUAUGUAUUUAUUGUGAAUUUUAGAAUGCCUAAAGGGCCUAUGUUAUAUAUGUUGAAAUUUCGGACCUCUACGCAGUAGAGAAUAGCUUGGUAGGCCUAUAGUUGCAUUUAGUAUUCUAUAUGAGACAUGGUUUCUUGCUUCUAUAGUAUAAGUGAGCUUCGAU
RNAcentral lists this long non-coding RNA (615 nucleotides) under Ananas comosus (pineapple). RNAcentral describes it as "long non-coding RNA (ACOM_LNC017607)". The record is from RNAcentral. Lineage: Eukaryota; Viridiplantae; Streptophyta; Magnoliopsida; Poales; Bromeliaceae.